GCAAACUUGGUCAUUUAGAGGAAGUAAAAGUCGUAACAAGGUUUCCGUAGGUGAACCUGCGGAAGGAUCAUUAACAAAUCUACAACAACACCAUGUGUAAACGUAUGUGUUCCCUUGGGUUGCUUGCUUGUUGUUGUGAAAUAUCUCUAUCACGUCUCAUGUACGCUUGCUUAACUAUGGGUGAGGUUGGUUAGAGCAUCUAACAUGAUGGUGAUAGAGUAGUAGCAACACACACAGCUCUAGCUUUCGUUAGAGUGUGAGCUGUGAGCGAGGUUAGCUAACACUCUCAACGACUCAAGGGAACAUCCUUGGGAUAAACUAUAUUGAUGGACAGCCUGAGAUGAUAUUGCUUAAGUAUAGACAACUUUUAACAAUGGAUCUCUUGGCUCUUGCAUCGAUGAAGAACGCAGC
This 411-nucleotide unclassified non-coding RNA is filed under the name uncultured fungus. RNAcentral's name for it is "partial contains small subunit ribosomal RNA, internal transcribed spacer 1, and 5.8S ribosomal RNA". The stretch from base 1 to 73 matches the Rfam family "Eukaryotic small subunit ribosomal RNA", at positions 1759 to 1831 of the family's 1831-position model. Lineage: Eukaryota; Fungi. The record is from RNAcentral.